Molecule: ribosomal RNA, 228 nt
Filed under: uncultured bacterium
Lineage: Bacteria
Description: partial 16S ribosomal RNA
Rfam family: Bacterial small subunit ribosomal RNA
Source: RNAcentral
UACGUAGGGGGGCAAGCGUUGUCCGGAUUUAUUGGGCGUAAAGAGCUCGUAGGUGGUUCGGUAAGUCGGAUGUGAAAUCUCCAGGCUCAACCUGGAGGGGUCAUUCGAUACUGCCGUGACUAGAGGUCGGUAGGGGAGUGUGGAAUUCCUGGUGGAGCGGUGAAAUGCGCAGAUAUCAGGAGGAACACCCGUAGCGAAGGCGGCACUCUGGGCCAUACUGACACUGAG